RNAcentral lists this long non-coding RNA (547 nucleotides) under Nicotiana tabacum (common tobacco). RNAcentral's name for it is "long non-coding RNA (NTAB_LNC009663)". Lineage: Eukaryota; Viridiplantae; Streptophyta; Magnoliopsida; Solanales; Solanaceae. The record is from RNAcentral.
AUAAAGAGAUAUGAACGUCAAAGAAAGGGCUGGUGAAGCACAUAUGUGGUUGACUUUUCAACCUUACUGUAAGUAGAAGACUCAGUCUUCUUUUUCCUCAUUUUCCAGCAAAUUCACGCACAAUCAGAGCUUCAAUAGCUCUUCAAGAAGUUCCUUAGGGUUUUAAAGCAAUUCCAUUAUCCGCAACUCAAAAUCAAGAAGCGAACACAUCAAUGCUAUCCUUACGACAUAUGUAAGAAUUUACCGCCCUCUUUUCUCCUUAUAAAUCGAGCUUUGGAAAGAGCUUCAAGUCUAAGCAAGCUUGUCAUCUCUGUAUUUUAGCUAUACAAUCAUAUAGAAGGGUGUGGAUUAAAGGGAACAAGGAUUGGAAGCAAGAACAUAAGAGGUAUGUAGGGUUUUCGUUUCAUUUUCGGCAUGAUUUGGUUUAACUAUGCUCUAUCCUUUCUUCUUGAUCUUUUAAGAGUUGUUAAAGGAUAAUUUAGCAUGUAUUGUAUCCUUGUAUAGUAUUCAGAUUUCCAAUUUACAGUCAUACUUUAGUAUGUUUUUA